GUGAUCGCUUAGGCAGCACAUAUAGUAAAGUUGAAACGAUACACAGAAGGUUGGCAUGGCCCCUGCAGGUCGUGAUCCGUGUUAAAAAAGAAAAAAAUUGUG
Small nuclear RNA from Myotis lucifugus (little brown bat), 102 nucleotides. Lineage: Eukaryota; Metazoa; Chordata; Mammalia; Chiroptera; Vespertilionidae. The record is from Ensembl.